This 460-nucleotide ribosomal RNA is filed under the name uncultured bacterium. Its description in RNAcentral is "partial 16S ribosomal RNA". It matches the Rfam family "Bacterial small subunit ribosomal RNA", at positions 338 to 795 of the family's 1533-position model. The record is from RNAcentral.
CCUACGGGUGGCAGCAGUGAGGAAUAUUGGUCAAUGGACGAGAGUCUGAACCAGCCAAGUAGCGUGAAGGAUGACUGCCCUAUGGGUUGUAAACUUCUUUUAUAUGGGAAUAAAAUGUUCCACGUUUGGGAUUUUGUAUGUACCAUAUGAAUAAGGAUCGGCUAACUCCGUGCCAGCAGCCGCGGUAAUACGGAGGAUCCGAGCGUUAUCCGGAUUUAUUGGGUUUAAAGGGAGCGUAGGUGGAUUGUUAAGUCAGUUGUGAAAGUUUGCGGCUCAACCGUAAAAUUGCAGUUGAAACUGGCAGUCUUGAGUACAGUAGAGGUGGGUGGAAUUCGUGGUGUAGCGGUGAAAUGCUUAGAUAUCACGAAGAACUCCGAUUGCGAAGGCAGUUCACUGGACUGCAACUGACACUGAGGCUCGAAAGUGUGGGUAUCAAACAGGAUUAGAUACCCCAGUAGUC